This 253-nucleotide ribosomal RNA is filed under the name uncultured bacterium. RNAcentral's name for it is "partial 16S ribosomal RNA". It matches the Rfam family "Bacterial small subunit ribosomal RNA", at positions 524 to 776 of the family's 1533-position model. The record is from RNAcentral.
UACGUAGGUGGCAAGCGUUGUCCGGAUUUACUGGGCGUAAAGGGCGCGUAGGCGGCCUUCUAAGUCAGACGUGAAAUCCCCAGGCUUAACUUGGGAACUGCGUCUGAUACUGGGAGGCUUGAGUGCGGGAGAGGGAUGUGGAAUUCCAGGUGUAGCGGUGAAAUGCGUAGAUAUCUGGAGGAACACCGGUGGCGAAGGCGGCAUCCUGGACCGACACUGACGCUGAGGCGCGAAAGCUAGGGGAGCAAACGGG